AGUGAACGCUGGCGGUAGGCCUAACACAUGCAAGUCGAACGGCAGCACAGUAAGAGCUUGCUCUUACGGGUGGCGAGUGGCGGACGGGUGAGGAAUACAUCGGAAUCUACUUUUUCGUGGGGGAUAACGUAGGGAAACUUACGCUAAUACCGCAUACGACCUACGGGUGAAAGCAGGGGAUCUUCGGACCUUGCGCGAUUGAAUGAGCCGAUGUCGGAUUAGCUAGUUGGCGGGGUAAAGGCUCACCAAGGCGACGAUCCGUAGCUGGUCUGAGAGGAUGAUCGGCCACAAUGGAAGUGAGACAGGGCCGAGGCUCCUACGGGAGGCAGCAGUAUGGAAUCUUCCGCAGUGGGCGAAAGCCUGACGGAGCAUCGCCGCGUGAGUGAUGACGGUCUUCGGAUCGUAAAACUCUGUUAUUAGGGAAGAAAAUAUGUGUAAGUAACUAUGCACAUCUUGACGGUCCCUAAUCAGACAGCCACGGCUAACUACGUG
This 492-nucleotide ribosomal RNA is filed under the name uncultured bacterium. Its description in RNAcentral is "partial 16S ribosomal RNA". It matches the Rfam family "Bacterial small subunit ribosomal RNA", at positions 29 to 507 of the family's 1533-position model. The record is from RNAcentral.